GGGGAUGUUUUGGUUUCGACGGGGGUAUUGGAGGGGUUCUAAGCGAGCCGUGGCCCUGAACCACGUAAAAACGGGAACUAAAAUUUAAUUGACAAUAAUAAUCAAUUAGCAUUCGCGGCAUAAUGCCGCCAUCACACCGUAAAGCCUUUAAACCGGAAAUGUGAUGUAAAGCCACAAAGGCAACGUAACUAUCAAAGCUUUGAGAUAACUUACGUAACAUGAAGCUACCAAAAUCAUUAGUAUGUUAAUUUACGAAUGAUGGAGGGAAUAAUAAAUAAUUAACUACGCUCGUAGAAAGGGGCUUUGACAGACUUUCGGACAGGGGUUCAAUUCCCCUCAUCUCCACCA
RNAcentral lists this transfer-messenger RNA (348 nucleotides) under Christensenellaceae bacterium. It matches the Rfam family "transfer-messenger RNA". From Rfam's summary of the family: Bacterial tmRNA, also known as 10Sa RNA or SsrA, is named for its dual tRNA and mRNA-like properties. Its role is to liberate the mRNA from a stalled ribosome. To accomplish this part of the tmRNA is used as a reading frame that ends in a translation stop signal. Lineage: Bacteria; Bacillati; Bacillota; Clostridia; Christensenellales; Christensenellaceae. RNAcentral also lists the same sequence under 1 other name. The record is from RNAcentral.